This 253-nucleotide ribosomal RNA is filed under the name uncultured bacterium. RNAcentral's name for it is "partial 16S ribosomal RNA". It matches the Rfam family "Bacterial small subunit ribosomal RNA", at positions 524 to 776 of the family's 1533-position model. The record is from RNAcentral.
UACGAAGGGUGCAAGCGUUGUUCGGAAUCAUUGGGCGUAAAGCGCGCGCAGGCGGAUUAGUAAGUCAGAUGUGAAAUCUCGGAGCUCAACUCCGAAACUGCGUCUGAAACUACUAGUCUAGAAUGUCGGAGGGGGCAGGGGAAUUUCACGUGUAGGGGUAAAAUCCGUAGAGAUGUGAAGGAACACCGGAGGCGAAGGCGCCUGCCUGGACGACUAUUGACGCUGAGGCGCGAAGGCGUGGGGAGCAAACAGG